CUUUUCUGAUUUUAUAUAGUAGUAGUGUAGUACUAGUAAUUAUAAAAAUUAAAAUAAAUUAUCACUGCACGCAUUAAAUGGAUCCAACAGAACGUGAGGUUCCAUAUUGUCUAAAUUAAUAAUUUACACCUUUUUGGAAUAUAUCGGAGAAUGAAAGUCUCCGUUGAUUCUACCAAUCCGUUGACGUUCAUAUCUCUUUGUCACACAUUCUAUUUUUUUUAAAUCAUUAUUUAUUUAUUUAUUUUUCUUACGUUAUAGACUUGUAGUAUAUAUAAAUCUGCAUCUUGUCUUA
RNAcentral lists this long non-coding RNA (292 nucleotides) under Arabidopsis lyrata. RNAcentral's name for it is "long non-coding RNA (ALYR_LNC001222)". Lineage: Eukaryota; Viridiplantae; Streptophyta; Magnoliopsida; Brassicales; Brassicaceae. The record is from RNAcentral.